This 529-nucleotide ribosomal RNA is filed under the name uncultured bacterium. RNAcentral describes it as "bacterial SSU rRNA". It matches the Rfam family "Bacterial small subunit ribosomal RNA", at positions 777 to 1304 of the family's 1533-position model. The record is from RNAcentral.
AAUAGAUACCCUGGUAGUCCACGCCGUAAACGAUGAGUGCUAAGUGUUAGAGGGUUUCCGCCCUUUAGUGCUGCAGCUAACGCAUUAAGCACUCCGCCUGGGGAGUACGGUCGCAAGACUGAAACUCAAAGGAAUUGACGGGGGCCCGCACAAGCGGUGGAGCAUGUGGUUUAAUUCGAAGCAACGCGAAGAACCUUACCAGGUCUUGACAUCCUCUGACAACUCUAGAGAUAGAGCGUUCCCCUUCGGGGGACAGAGUGACAGGUGGUGCAUGGUUGUCGUCAGCUCGUGUCGUGAGAUGUUGGGUUAAGUCCCGCAACGAGCGCAACCCUUGAUCUUAGUUGCCAGCAUUUAAUUGGGCACUCUAAGGUGACUGCCGGUGACAAACCGGAGGAAGGUGGGGAUGACGUCAAAUCAUCAUGCCCCUUAUGACCUGGGCUACACACGUGCUACAAUGGAUGGUACAAAGGGCUGCAAGACCGCGAGGUCAAGCCAAUCCCAUAAAACCAUUCUCAGUUCGGAUUGUAGG